UGGGGUUAGACAGGUGGGGGUGACCACGUUAGUUGCCGGUCCCACCUAUUGGAGCACAAGAGAGGAGAGGUAAUGGGGUGGGGUGGAAGCCGGACGGCAUGGCUGGGGCACGCUCGGACUGGGCGGUGCUACCGCGGCUGCCAUGAUCGCCACCGUGGGGCUUGCUGGAGCGCUCCGGGAGGGCGUUCCCGGUCGCUGCCGGCCUCAUGGAGGGCACCGGGAGAGAGAGGAGGAGGUAGCGAGGCUGGUGGUGGCGUCGAGGGGGGAGAGAGAGGCGGGAGCGGCGUGUCCGUGGAGGGGUGUUUGCUCAAGCUCGGCCGGCAGUUGUGGGAUUGGAGCAAGCGGGGAGGGCGCCUUUAAUAGGUGCCGGGGAGGGAAGGGAAAAUGAUUUUGUUUGUAACAUGAUUUUGAAUGUUUGAUGGAAGGGAAGUGUGUUUAAUUGAAGAAAAUUUUUAAAAAGCCUAUAUUUUUAAAUGCUCUAAAAAGUGGGGUGUUACAAGAUGUAAUUUGGGUAUAUGGAAGAUGUUUUUCUCUAUGAAAAAUAAUAGCAAAUAGUCCAGUGUGUGACAACAUUUUAAAGAGUCUUCUAGCUAAGCAAUGAUCAAUGUUCUCAAGCAACUGCAAAAAAAAUUCCACACUCACCAAUUUUGUUUUAAUAUCAUGCUCUGCAAUUUCAAUACACGGACCCUGAGACAUAUCUUAAAAGUUGUGUUGGAGAAACUCCAGAUGGAAACGCGUGAUCGUUUAUUAAUUCUACUCCAUAUGAGGUCUGCAGAUAAGCAACGCAUCACCAUGCAUCAAGCCACAUGUAUCGUCGCUAGACUCAAGUAACAAGUGCACAACAUAAGCAGUUAGCUAACCAGCUCUUCUAGAAUCAAAUAGUCCGAAAAAAAGAACCAACCAACUAGUCCUUAGUG
RNAcentral lists this long non-coding RNA (917 nucleotides) under Setaria viridis. Its description in RNAcentral is "long non-coding RNA (SVIR_LNC007578)". The record is from RNAcentral. Lineage: Eukaryota; Viridiplantae; Streptophyta; Magnoliopsida; Poales; Poaceae.